UACGUAGGUGGCAAGCGUUGUCCGGAAUUAUUGGGCGUAAAGCGCGCGCAGGCGGAUUGGUCAGUCUGUCUUAAAAGUUCGGGGCUUAACCCCGUGAUGGGAUGGAAACUGCCAAUCUAGAGUAUCGGAGAGGAAAGUGGAAUUCCUAGUGUAGCGGUGAAAUGCGUAGAUAUUAGGAAGAACACCAGUGGCGAAGGCGACUUUCUGGACGAAAACUGACGCUGAGGCGCGAAAGCCAGGGGAGCGAACGGGAUUAGAUACCCCGGUAGUCCUGGCCGUAAACGAUGGGUACUAGGUGUAGGAGGUAUCGACCCCUUCUGUGCCGGAGUUAACGCAAUAAGUACCCCGCCUGGGGAGUACGACCGCAAGGUUG
This 373-nucleotide ribosomal RNA is filed under the name uncultured bacterium. RNAcentral's name for it is "bacterial SSU rRNA". It matches the Rfam family "Bacterial small subunit ribosomal RNA", at positions 524 to 896 of the family's 1533-position model. The record is from RNAcentral.